CCUACGGGUGGCAGCAGUGAGGAAUAUUGCACAAUGGGCGCGAGCCUGAACCAGCCACGUAGCGUGAAGGAUGACUGCCCUCCGGGUUGUAAACUUCUUUUAUAAAGGAAUAAAGUGAGGCACGUGUGCCUUAUUGUCUGUACUUUAUGAAUAAGGAUCGGCUAACUCCGUGCCAGCAGCCGCGGUAAUACGGAGGAUCCGAGCGUUAUCCGGAUUUAUUGGGUGUAAAGGGAGCGUAGAUGGGAUGUUAAGUCAGUUGUGAAAGUUUGCGGCUCAACCGUAAAAUUGCAAUUGAGACUGGCAGUCUUGAGUACAGUUGAGGUAGGCGGAAUUCGUAGUGUAGCGGUGAAAUGCUUAGAUAUCACGAAGAACUCCGAUGGCGAAGGCAGCUUACUAAACUGCCACUGACAUUGAUGCUCGAAAGUGUGGGUAUCAAACAGGAUUAGAUACCCCAGUAGUC
RNAcentral lists this ribosomal RNA (460 nucleotides) under uncultured bacterium. Its description in RNAcentral is "partial 16S ribosomal RNA". It matches the Rfam family "Bacterial small subunit ribosomal RNA", at positions 338 to 795 of the family's 1533-position model. The record is from RNAcentral.